RNAcentral lists this long non-coding RNA (753 nucleotides) under Calidris pugnax (ruff). RNAcentral describes it as "lncRNA (ENSCPUG00000011586.1)". Lineage: Eukaryota; Metazoa; Chordata; Aves; Charadriiformes; Scolopacidae. The record is from RNAcentral.
AUCCUGCUGAACUCCAGCCAGGGUUUCCCAAGGCUUUUUAGACAUCGUAGCUAUAGCAACGGGAACCCAAACAACUCUGUUCCCUACAUGACAUGACUUUGUUGGGUGUUUCUUACAGUUGGAAUUCAGCUGUGAUCAAAUGUAGAGGUGACAGCUCCGCCGAGGAGGUAUAACACACACACAGCAGGACCUAAUCAAGCUGCAAAGUCACCUGAAGAGAUGAGAGCAGUGGGAGCUGUAGGCAAUACGGGUGGAUUCAGGAGCAAUGCCAGCCCCACACCACACAGCGGAGAAAUCAAUCGCACUGUCACAAAAUGAAGAUUAGAAAUAGGAAUUUCUUCCUCCAUCAAAGUUGCACAAGAAGAACCUGAAAGACACUGGAGGGCCUUGACCACAACCUCACUCAUGAAGGGGAAAAUACUCAACUUGUAUAAUUUCUUAUGGAACUCACUUCCAAAAACAGUCUUUGCACUUGCACGAAACAAAAGACAGAAUGACCACCAGGCUGAUCACAAUAUGUCCCAAUCCAGCUGCAGCAAACAUGUCUUUCCUGUGAAAAUCUAUACACCUGUGAAAGCUGAAGGAAAAGCUCCAACUGGAACCACCAUCCUCAACUGUUACAUGAAGUUGUGUCUUCAUCUACAAGACUUGCAAGCUGAAGGCUACAAAAUAAACUUGGUUAGCACAUAUUUUGGUAUUUAUCACCCAAAAGUGCUGUCAGCCACCAGUGCUUUUUAUCAAAUUAGGAUAUAG